Bombina bombina (fire-bellied toad) is the source of this 271-nucleotide long non-coding RNA. RefSeq lists it as uncharacterized. The record is from RefSeq and is a predicted model, not a curated record. Lineage: Eukaryota; Metazoa; Chordata; Amphibia; Anura; Bombinatoridae. The transcript has 3 exons.
AAACCUCCCAUCUCCAGGACAACAACUUACAGAGUUUGGGACAGAGGUGGCUGUAAGUGGAGAUCAGCAGCCUGCUGGGGUGCUGCAUGGGAUGACAACAGGAUAGACAGGUCUGUGCCCAUUGGAGCUUGUGCCACCAGAGGGCGCUACAGCAGAGUGCUAUUGAGCGUGGGGAAAUAUCAUUACAAGGAGUAAAGCAUUAGCCUGAGUCAGAUGGCAGAUCACUUUCAUUUGAAGAGUGGGUGACAGAGAUAAUCCACAUAAUGUCUGG